AAAGAUGGCCUUACCAUUCUGGACAUGACUGAUCUCCUCUGACCUUGAAAGCUAAACAGAGUUAUGCCUGUUUAGUACCUGGAUGAGAGGAAUGAACAAGGAGCUGAUUGCA
Molecule: ribosomal RNA, 112 nt
Organism: Ictidomys tridecemlineatus (thirteen-lined ground squirrel)
Lineage: Eukaryota; Metazoa; Chordata; Mammalia; Rodentia; Sciuridae
Source: Ensembl